UGGGGAAUAUUGCACAAUGGGCGCAAGCCUGAUGCAGCCAUGCCGCGUGUGUGAAGAAGGCCUUCGGGUUGUAAAGCACUUUCAGCGAGGAGGAAGGUGGUGAGCUUAAUACGCUCAUCAAUUGACGUUACUCGCAGAAGAAGCACCGGCUAACUCCGUGCCAGCAGCCGCGGUAAUACGGAGGGUGCAAGCGUUAAUCGGAAUUACUGGGCGUAAAGCGCACGCAGGCGGUUUGUUAAGUCAGAUGUGAAAUCCCCGGGCUCAACCUGGGAACUGCAUUUGAAACUGGCAAGCUAGAGUCUCGUAGAGGGGGGUAGAAUUCCAGGUGUAGCGGUGAAAUGCGUAGAGAUCUGGAGGAAUACCGGUGGCGAAGGCGGCCCCCCUGGACGAAGACUGACGCUCAGGUGCGAAAGCGUGGGGCAGCAAACAGGAUUAGAUACCCUGGUAGUCCACGCUGUAAACGAUGUCGAUUUGGAGGUUGUGCCCUUGAGGCGUGGCUUCCGGAGCUAACGCGUUAAAGUCGACCGCCUGGGGGAGUACGG
RNAcentral lists this ribosomal RNA (542 nucleotides) under uncultured bacterium. Its description in RNAcentral is "partial 16S ribosomal RNA". It matches the Rfam family "Bacterial small subunit ribosomal RNA", at positions 355 to 885 of the family's 1533-position model. The record is from RNAcentral.